Molecule: transfer RNA, 72 nt
Filed under: Candidatus Kuenenbacteria bacterium RBG_16_41_7
Lineage: Bacteria; Candidatus Kueneniibacteriota
Also listed under: 1 other name
Description: tRNA-Asn
Rfam family: tRNA
About the family: Transfer RNA (tRNA) molecules are approximately 80 nucleotides in length. Their secondary structure includes four short double-helical elements and three loops (D, anti-codon, and T loops).
Source: RNAcentral
UCUCGGGUAGUUCAGUGGUAGAACGCCUGGCUGUUAACCAGGAUGUCGUAGGUUCGAAUCCUGCCCCGAGAG